GAAUCUACCAAAAGGACUGGGACAACCACUGGAAACGGUGGCUAAUACCCGAUGUGCGCAACGUGAAAGAUUUAUCGCCUGAAGAGGAGCUCGCGUCUGAUUAGCUAGUUGGUGGGGUAAAAGCUCACCAAGGCGACGAUCAGUAGCUGGUCUGAGAGGAUGAUCAGCCACACUGGGACUGAGACACGGCCCAGACUCCUACGGGAGGCAGCAGUGGGGAAUUUUCCGCAAUGGGCGAAAGCCUGACGGAGCAAGACCGCGUGAGGGAGGAAGGCUCUUGGGUUGUAAACCUCUUUUCUCAGGGAAGAACAAAAUGGCGGUACCUGAGGAAUCAGCCUCGGCUAACUCCGUGCCAGCAGCCGCGGUAAUACGGAGGAGGCAAGCGUUAUCCGGAAUUAUUGGGCGUAAAGCGUCCGCAGGUGGCACUUCAAGUCUGUCGUCAAAGACUGGGGCUUAACCCUGGAAAGGCGGUGGAAACUGACAAGCUAGAGUGCCGUAGGGGUAGAGGGAAUUCCCGGUGUAGCGGUGAAAUGCGUAGAGCUCGGGAAGAACAUCGGUGGCGAAAGCGCUCUACUGGACUGCAACUGACACUCAGGGACGAAAGCUAGGGGAGCG
RNAcentral lists this ribosomal RNA (615 nucleotides) under uncultured cyanobacterium. RNAcentral describes it as "bacterial SSU rRNA". It matches the Rfam family "Bacterial small subunit ribosomal RNA", at positions 122 to 770 of the family's 1533-position model. The record is from RNAcentral. Lineage: Bacteria; Bacillati; Cyanobacteriota.